GACGAACGCUGGCGGCGUGCUUAACACAUGCAAGUCGAGCGAGAAAGCGCCUUCGGGCGUGAGUACAGCGGCGAACGGGUGAGUAACACGUGGGCAACCUGCCCCAGAGACUGGGAUAACGUCCCGAAAGGGACGCUAAUACCGGGUGAUGCGCGACCUGCCAAGUAGGUCGCGCCAAAUGGUAGCUUCGGCUUCUGCUCUGGGAUGGGCCCGCGCCGGAUUAGCUUGUUGGUGGGGUAACGGCUCACCAAGGCGACGAUCCGUAGCUGGUCUGAGAGGACGAUCAGCCACACUGGGACUGAGACACGGCCCAGACUCCUACGGGUGGCAG
This 331-nucleotide ribosomal RNA is filed under the name uncultured Actinomycetes bacterium. RNAcentral describes it as "bacterial SSU rRNA". It matches the Rfam family "Bacterial small subunit ribosomal RNA", at positions 28 to 351 of the family's 1533-position model. Lineage: Bacteria; Bacillati; Actinomycetota; Actinomycetes. The record is from RNAcentral.